Molecule: ribosomal RNA, 430 nt
Filed under: Pseudomonadota bacterium
Lineage: Bacteria; Pseudomonadati; Pseudomonadota
Description: Proteobacteria bacterium partial 16S ribosomal RNA
Rfam family: Bacterial small subunit ribosomal RNA
Source: RNAcentral
UGGGGAAUAUUGGACAAUGGGCGAAAGCCUGAUCCAGCCAUGCCGCGUGUGUGAAGAAGGCCUUAUGGUUGUAAAGCACUUUAAGCGAGGAGGAGGGUACUGGUAUUAAUACUACCAGCUACUGGACAUUACUCGCAGAAUAAGCACCGGCUAACUCUGUGCCAGCAGCCGCGGUAAUACAGAGGGUGCGAGCGUUAAUCGGAUUUACUGGGCGUAAAGCGUGCGUAGGCGGCUAAUUGAGUCGGAUGUGAAAUCCCCGAGCUUAACUUGGGAAUUGCAUUCGAUACUGGUUAGCUAGAGUGUGGGAGAGGAUGGUAGAAUUCCAGGUGUAGCGGUGAAAUGCGUAGAGAUCUGGAGGAAUACCGAUGGCGAAGGCAGCCAUCUGGCCUAACACUGACGCUGAGGUACGAAAGCAUGGGGAGCAAACAGG